Molecule: ribosomal RNA, 886 nt
Filed under: Ramularia miae
Lineage: Eukaryota; Fungi; Ascomycota; Dothideomycetes; Mycosphaerellales; Mycosphaerellaceae
Description: eukaryotic LSU rRNA
Rfam family: Eukaryotic large subunit ribosomal RNA
Source: RNAcentral
CGCUGAACUUAAGCAUAUCAAUAAGCGGAGGAAAAGAAACCAACAGGGAUUGCCCUAGUAACGGCGAGUGAAGCGGCAACAGCUCAAAUUUGAAAUCUGGCGCAAGCCCGAGUUGUAAUUUGUAGAGGAUGCUUCUAGGUAGCGACCGGUCUAAGUUCCUUGGAACAGGACGUCAUAGAGGGUGAGAAUCCCGUAUGUGACCGGCCCGCACCUUCUACGUAGCUCCUUCGACGAGUCGAGUUGUUUGGGAAUGCAGCUCUAAAUGGGAGGUAAAUUUCUUCUAAAGCUAAAUACCGGCCAGAGACCGAUAGCGCACAAGUAGAGUGAUCGAAAGAUGAAAAGCACUUUGGAAAGAGAGUUAAAAAGCACGUGAAAUUGUUGAAAGGGAAGCGCUCACAACCAGACUUCUGGGCGGUGUUCCGCCGGUCUUCUGACCGGUCUACUCACCGUCCCGAGGCCAACAUCAUCUGGGACCGCCGGAUAAGACCUCAGGAAUGUAGCUCCCCUCGGGGAGUGUUAUAGCCUGUGGUGAUGCGGCGCGUCUCGGGUGAGGUCCGCGCUUCGGCAAGGAUGUUGGCGUAAUGGUUGUCAGCGGCCCGUCUUGAAACACGGACCAAGGAGUCUAACAUCUAUGCGAGUGUUCGGGUGUCAAACCCCUACGCGUAAUGAAAGUGAACGGAGGUGGGAAGGGCAACCUGCACCAUCGACCGAUCCUGAUGUCCUCGGAUGGAUUUGAGUAAGAGCAUAGCUGUUGGGACCCGAAAGAUGGUGAACUAUGCCUGAAUAGGGUGAAGCCAGAGGAAACUCUGGUGGAGGCUCGCAGCGGUUCUGACGUGCAAAUCGAUCGUCAAAUUUGGGUAUAGGGGCGAAAGACUAAUCGAACCAU